Small nucleolar RNA from Sorex araneus (European shrew), 102 nucleotides. RefSeq annotates it as small nucleolar RNA U13. NCBI's taxonomy places the organism in Eukaryota, Metazoa, Chordata, Mammalia, Eulipotyphla, Soricidae. The record is from RefSeq and is a predicted model, not a curated record. The transcript has a single exon.
AUCCUUUUCUGGUUGAUAAGCAUAAUGAUUGGAAGUUUACACAUUUGUGUGACCUAUGCCUCCCUUAAAUCUUAUAUUUAAGGUCUUUUAAUCUAUUUGAUC